Molecule: long non-coding RNA, 148 nt
Organism: Bufo bufo (common toad)
Lineage: Eukaryota; Metazoa; Chordata; Amphibia; Anura; Bufonidae
Exons: 3
Source: RefSeq, a predicted model, not a curated record
CUCAGGCAGGAUGAUAAAUUUGGUGCAAAAACAGGUACUUUUCACUGACACUAUACCAACUUUUGGUUGGCUUACUUUGAGAAAGAAUUUUACACCGGAAUUGGGGUGCAAUUUUGGCUCAAAAUGGUGAAUCCCAGACCAUACUCCC